AUGAACGCUAGCGGUGCGCCUAACACAUGCAAGUCGAGCGAUAUAGCGGCGAACGGGUGAGUAACACGUUGAUAACCUGCCCUGAAGUGAGGGAUAGCCUGCCGAAAGGUGGAUUAAUACCGCAUAGAAAUGGGGGGACAUAAGUCAUUCCCAUUUAAAGUCUUCGGACGCUUUAGGAGGGGUCUGCGCAGUAUCAGUUAGUUGGUAGGGUAACGGCCUACCAAGACUACGACGCUUAGCUGGUCUGAGAGGAUGAUCAGCCACAAUGGAACUGAGACACGGUCCAUACUCCUACGGGAGGCAGCAGUGAGGAAUCUUCCGCAAUGGGCGAAAGCCUGACGGAGCGACACCGCGUGGAGGAUGAAGGCCUUUUGGUUGUAAACUCCUUUUCUGAGGGAAUAAAUGAUGAAGGUACCUCAGGAAUAAGCACCGGCAAACUACGU
This 443-nucleotide ribosomal RNA is filed under the name uncultured bacterium. RNAcentral describes it as "bacterial SSU rRNA". It matches the Rfam family "Bacterial small subunit ribosomal RNA", at positions 29 to 506 of the family's 1533-position model. The record is from RNAcentral.